GAAUCCCUGACGCAGCAACGCCCCUAGGGUGAGUAAGGUUUUUUUAUUCUAAAAUCCAGUCUUUGGGGAGGAUAAAAACGGUACCCAAGUAAGAAUCCACAUCUAAUAACUUCCCAGCAGCAGCCGUAAUAAUUAGGAGGCAACCAUUGUCCUCAAUUUUUAUUCGUAAAGAAUAUGUAGGCGGAUAUUUAAUUCAUCAGUGAAAUCACCAGGCUUAUCAACUGAGGAGCAUUCGAUAAUGAAUAUAUUGAGUACAGGAGAGGAAAUAGGAAUUCUUAGUGUAGCGGUGAAAAAAGUAGUGAUUAGGAAGAACACCAGUGGUGAAGAAGACUUUUUGGUCAGUAACCGACGAUGAGAUAGGAAAAAAGGGGGAGGAAACAACAUUAUUUACCACCGUAGUAC
Molecule: ribosomal RNA, 402 nt
Filed under: uncultured bacterium
Lineage: Bacteria
Description: partial 16S ribosomal RNA
Rfam family: Bacterial small subunit ribosomal RNA
Source: RNAcentral